Molecule: ribosomal RNA, 496 nt
Filed under: Lysinibacillus fusiformis
Lineage: Bacteria; Bacillati; Bacillota; Bacilli; Caryophanales; Bacillaceae
Description: bacterial SSU rRNA
Source: RNAcentral
GGACGAACGCUGGCGGCGUGCCUAAUACAUGCAAGUCGAGCGAACAGAGAAGGAGCUUGCUCCUUYGACGUUAGCGGCGGACGGGUGAGUAACACGUGGGCAACCUACCUUAUAGUUUGGGAUAACUCCGGGAAACCGGGGCUAAUACCGAAUAAUCUGUUUCACCUCAUGGUGAAACACURAAAGACGGUUUCGGCUGUCGCUAUAGGAUGGGCCCGCGGCGCAUUAGCUAGUUGGUGAGGUAACGGCUCACCAAGGCGACGAUGCGUAGCCGACCUGAGAGGGUGAUCGGCCACACUGGGACUGAGACACGGCCCAGACUCCUACGGGAGGCAGCAGUAGGGAAUCUUCCACAAUGGGCGAAAGCCUGAUGGAGCAACGCCGCGUGAGUGAAGAAGGAUUUCGGUUCGUAAAACUCUGUUGUAAGGGAAGAACAAGUACAGUAGUAACUGGCUGUACCUUGACGGUACCUUAUUAGAAAGCCACGGCUAACUAC